GACGAGCGCUGGCGGCGUGCUUAACACAUGCAAGUCGAACGAAGAGCGACGGAAGCUUGCUUCCAUCAAUCUUAGUGGCGAACGGGUGAGUAACGCGUAAUCAACCUGCCCUUCAGAGGGGGACAACAGUUGGAAACGACUGCUAAUACCGCAUACGAUCUGACCUCGGCAUCGAGGAUAGAUGAAAGGUGGCCUCUAUUUAUAAGCUAUCACUGAAGGAGGGGAUUGCGUCUGAUUAGCUAGUUGGAGGGGUAACGGCCCACCAAGGCGAUGAUCAGUAGCCGGUCUGAGAGGAUGAACGGCCACAUUGGGACUGAGACACGGCCCAGACUCCUACGGGAGGCAGCAGUGGGGAAUCUUCCGCAAUGGACGAAAGUCUGACGGAGCAACGCCGCGUGAGUGAUGACGGCCUUCGGGUUGUAAAGCUCUGUUAAUCGGGACGAAAGGCCUUCUUGCGAAUAGUUAGGAGG
Molecule: ribosomal RNA, 470 nt
Filed under: Veillonella dispar
Lineage: Bacteria; Bacillati; Bacillota; Negativicutes; Veillonellales; Veillonellaceae
Description: bacterial SSU rRNA
Rfam family: Bacterial small subunit ribosomal RNA
Source: RNAcentral